GUUCUGUUUGUAUGGUGCUCUUCAUAGCAUCAGUGCCAAAGGCCUUGGAGAUUUUAACCCUAGACACAAACUAGUCAUUUUCACAGGAUCAUAUUAAAAGUGACUUCUAGGACUAAAUAGAUAAUAAAAAUGCAUUAUAAUGAUCAAUCUGUAUGAAAGUUAAUAUUAUGCUCCAUUAACUCUCUAGGUAACAGUCUCAUAUAGUAGUAUCAACACCAACCACCUCAAAGACUUAUAACAAUCUAAAUUAAACACUGUAAACAUGUUUACAUCAGUCAAAAAGCUUGUCAUGUAGGAUUUUGGCAAAAUAGUUAGAGUGCUUGUGUCAUCCUUUAUGAAGUUGUACUGUAGUUUCAGAAAACUUUUAGUACAAAUGAUCAUUUGUAAUAAAAGUUUACCUAAGCAUAAAAUGAUUUAACACGUAACCUUGUUUGAAAAGUUUUAAAAUGUAGUUCUCCAAUAAUUUUUAGCUGCUAACAUAUUGUAUAUCACAGAGAUGUUCCUGACUGCCAGUAAUUACAUUAGUACAUAAUUAAACAGUCCUCUGGUUUAUAAGAAUUUACAUUUAACUUGAUAACAAAAAAGUAUUUUUUCCAAAAUAAUGUGCAACAAUAGAACAUGUGAGUUCUUGGAAAAACCGUAACUUGUCUUUAACUAUCAAGGUUCUGAAAGACUUUACAGAUCUCUUAAAUUUUCUUAGUAUACAGCCUUAAUUUCGAGUGUUCAGCUGGGCUGUAUUAUUAUUAGUUCAUCGGGUAUACUAAGAUCAAGUAACAUUAUCUCAUUGUUCUAGAAACGAACAAUAAAAAACUUCCACAAAAGUACCUGCAAGUUCCUUCGUAUUCCUUUGAUAGUCAUUAAAGACAAUUGAGAGAACAUCCCUAUUUCAGUUCUUUUUCCUGUCAAUAUCUGAGAAAAUUUGAACACAUGCAAGUCAAAACUACCAUAAUGCAGACACAGAAAGGUCCUCUUUCAUGAAGUUCAUCAAUAAAUGACUACCUUCAAUAAAUAAGUCUAUUUGGAAAUUCUAGAGCAUUUUUGUUCAACACAUUAGUCUUUUUUCUUUUCCAAUAGGUCUUUCUGUUUAAGCUCUCCAUCUGAAAGUUCUGUAUAUUUUCCGUUCUCCUCCUCUUGCUCUUCCUCACUGCCAUCAUCUGUGAGCUCCCGAUCGCUGUUUUCCUUUUUAACUGCCUCGUGUUCAUCUACACCUCCAUCUGUAUCAGCUGUGCAGAUUCCGUAACACAUUAUGCUGAUGACACCCAGGGGCAACCCAAAGAGAAAGCAUCCCAGAAGUGGUGAACUCUUGAAUACUGACACUACAGUAGACUUGGCAUCAUAGACUAUUCUCUUGAUUCGCUGCAGAACUCCGUCACCACCUUGUGCUUCAGCUGUACCAUCCAAGAUAUUGUUAAUAAACUGAACCAUGUCUUCUGUGUUCUCGAUGUGCCUAUCUGGUAGAAAAUACUGCUGAUUGGAGGUAUUCAAAACAACAAUAGUAGGAAUUGUCAAGUCAUCCAUUAGUAAGCUAUUGAUAUAAUCAUUUCCAUCCAUAUGGCCAAACUGGAAAUCCCUGUGAAAGUGAUCCCGAUAAUCUCUUGCAACUUCCUGAAUAAUAGAUUUCAGUCUGGUAUGUUCCACUGAAGAGUUUUUGUCAUCAAUGACUGCAAUAGCCACAAGCUUUCCUGUAUCUCCAAGUUCGUACAACGUAAAACCAUCCACAGUAAGAUAACCUUGAAAUCUUUCUCGAUUUAUCCAGGAUGACAAAUCACCAUCUUCAUACUCAUCAUACACAAAGUAAGUUCCGUCUUUGAAUACAACAACAGCAGGUAGUUCAGGCAAGGUCAGAUACUCAGGUAGCACAUCUUCUGAGGCAGAAAAAAAGUAUGUAUAAACAAUUAGUUCUGAAGCAACUUCAAUGUAUUUUUCCUUUAAAGGAGAUUCCCCACCAACAUAUACAAAAAGUACACGAUGCCUCUUUCGCACAUGCUCAAACAUAUGCUGGCUAGGAAGUGGCCUGAUAAGAGGUCCUGCUACUCUAUUAGCAAAUUCAAUUAUAUCAUCUUUGGUCCUAGGUCCUCUAUAGUUGUAUGCUAAGUCACCUUUUAAGAGCUUAAUUGUUGGAUAGCCUCGCACUCCGAAUUCAGAUGCAAUACUAGAGAAGGAAGUUGCAUCCAUCUUCCCAACUUUUACUGGAGAGCCCAUGUUUUUCAUUUCCAUACCCACUUCAUUCCACACAGGUUCUAAUUUCUUGCAGUGGCCGCACCACGGUGCAUAAAAAUCUACAAGCCAAAUAUCAUCUUUACGGUUUUCUUUAAACGAUUCAUCCAGAUCCUCCACAAAAGCUGCUUCUGAUGCCAACGCCAGCGCAACCACUGCCGCCCACAGACACUGCUGCCGCCCACCCAUCGCUGCCAUGUUGACAGGAGACCGGGCACGGCCGGAAGGGGAAACGGCACGGCGCCGCGCCGACCUUCCCUCACUGCGCAUGGGCGAGGGGGCGGGCGGUGCGGCGCAGUUUCUGCUAUUGGCGUAACGGCGGUCCGUGGUGGCCUCUGUCUGUGUCUUUCAGGGCCCUGGAGAGCAGCUCUUGGGAGGUGGAAGAAGAAGAAGAGGAGGGAAUCCUGACGUCCUAGCAUGAUGUCUGGGUGGAGCUUGGUGUGCGUCCGCUGCCUUGGUAGAGCUCUUCCUACGUUUCCCAAGGAAGCCGCCGCGUUCGAGUAGCUCCUAUGGGAACACAAAGGGCUAGGGCUCCUCCCAGUCUCUCUCUCUGCUUUCAGUCGCAGAUGGAAAGCUUCUGCCUGUUUGCGAGGAUGUUCACUGCCUAGCUGGGCAGGACUCAGCAGAACCUUCUGAAAAACUUGGCACUGUGAUGUCCCAGCAGAUCGUUGUGCUCUGAUUGACUAAAAACAUUGUUCCCAUUCCUUGAAACAUGAAUUUCAACGUAUCUGUACCAUCCAGAGGUCUUUGAUGGAUAGAAUCCCAUACUCAACCACUUACUGUUAAAUCAGCAACCCUCCAUCACGUUUACGAAAAACACAGGCUUGCACUAAUAUCAAUUUUAUUGUUCUCCUCUUUUCCCAUCCUCUGCUGGCUUGCUUUCAGCGCAGAUUUGCAGAUCCUGGAAGGGCAAGUAAUCCAGCUAAGAAACCUUGGGAAAAAAAAAAAAGAAAAAGAAAAAGAAAAAGAAAAAAAAAAGUAUUUGAAAGCAAGUUUUUCAUCUGGAAAUGUUUAGCCUUGUUUAGAGACAUCCUGGAGAAUCUUAUUAUUACUUAUUACUAUAUCCAAACACCUUCAGGUUUAUGGAGGACAGCCAGCCUCUUCUUAGUGGUGCCCAGUGCCAGCACAAGAGCCGUGGGCAUAAACUUGCACAGGAGGCUCCCUCUGAACAGCAGGCAGCACUUCCGUGCUGCGCAGGUGACGGAGCACUGGCACACAUUCUCCAGAGGCUGUGGGGUCUCCUUCUCGGAGAUCUCCAGAAGCUGCCUGGCCGUGGGCCUGGGCACCCUGCUCUGGGUGGCCCUGCUGCAGUGGGGCUGGAACUGGGGGAUCCAGAGGGCCCUUUCAACCUCAGCCAUUCUGGGAUUCUGAUAUCUGUUCCUUUUUGAUUUUGCCUUUCUCCUCCAUAUUGCAGUUACUCCCCUGAUCUGUACAAGCAAAUGUUUGAGGUUUUGAGGAGGAGAAAGAUAGAUUGUUUCCAGCGAGAAUUCGGUUCCUCUGACUUUAGUCAAGUCACUUUAUCCACUGGAGAGACCUACAAGCAAGGAGCAAACAUUCCAUUUGCCUCACCUUGGACUCCUGUGUGUGUUAGCCAGAUAAGUGUAUAAAUACAUGUACUCCUUCACUAGCCUAAAAGCAAACUGGGUAUUCAAUAUCUCUGUUUCAUCUAAUGGUUUUUCUGUUUAGCAUAUUGGACUCAUCAAAUGAUCUGCAGAAUUGUCCAGCCCUUUGGAUAGGCUAGUUUCUGGGUCAUUGCUUUAUUGGCAGAGAAAUAGGUCAAGACCUGAGAACAUAUGUCACAGCUCACAUUAAAAUUCAAGUUAUCUGAUUCUGGCCAGAUAGACUUAUCAUUUUCUUGCCAAGUUUGUCUGAAAUACAGCAUUAUGCACCUUAAUAAGACUAUUUCCUAUUUUAUUUUUCAUAAAGCUAGUGGGACAACUAAUGAGUUGCUAACAUAUCUAAUGAAUAAACCUACAGUUAUUCACAGAAUACAUAGAAUUUCUGUUCCACAGCAUUUCAGUUUUUGUAUACCAGCAUUAGCUAAGCACUGACAGCGUAUGCCUGACCAGAUGAGAACUGACAUCUGUCUUGAUCCUAAUCUAGCUGCUGUCUAGACUGAGACAAUGAAAACAUUUUAACUCAUCAGUCCUUUAACAAAAAGUAAAAAUAAAAAUAAAAAAAAAUCCAUACAGGAGAAAAUGGGACUAGCCAGAUAACUUUAAGUUAGUAUAAUCCUAUUCUCUUAUUCAG
RNAcentral lists this long non-coding RNA (4467 nucleotides) under Gallus gallus (chicken). The record is from RNAcentral. Lineage: Eukaryota; Metazoa; Chordata; Aves; Galliformes; Phasianidae.